RNAcentral lists this ribosomal RNA (406 nucleotides) under uncultured bacterium. RNAcentral's name for it is "bacterial SSU rRNA". It matches the Rfam family "Bacterial small subunit ribosomal RNA", at positions 355 to 775 of the family's 1533-position model. The record is from RNAcentral.
UUAGGAAUUUUGCGCAAUGGGCGAAAGCCUGACGCAGCAACGCCGCGUGAGGGAAGACGGCUUUCGGGUUGUAAACCUCUUUUAGCAGGGACGAACACAAUGACGGUACCUGCAGAAAAAGCACCGGCUAACUACGUGCCAGCAGCCGCGGUAAUACGUAGGGUGCAAGCGUUAUUCGGAUUUAUUGGGCGUAAAGCGCAUGUAGGCGGUUCGGUAAGUCUGGUGUGAAAGCCCGCGACUCAAUCGAGGAAGUGCAUUGGAUACUGUCGGACUGGAGUACAGGAGGGGUGGGCGGAAUUCAAGGUGUAGAGGUGAGAUACGUAGAUAUCUGGAGGAACAACAGCGGCGAAGGCAGCUCACUGGACUGUAACUGACGCUCAGAUGCGAUAGUGUGGGGAGCAAACAG